Molecule: small nucleolar RNA, 192 nt
Organism: Cololabis saira (Pacific saury)
Lineage: Eukaryota; Metazoa; Chordata; Actinopteri; Beloniformes; Belonidae
Product: small nucleolar RNA SNORA53
Exons: 1
Source: RefSeq, a predicted model, not a curated record
UGCACGCUCCUUAGAUCCACCUCUGGAGGAGCCCGGCUCCUCGGCAGCUUCCUGCUGUACAGUUGGAGGUGCUUGAGUCAUUGGCGUGCCAGAGCAGUCCACCUGUCCCCCAGACCCCCCGUGGUACCGGCUACCCCGUCACCUGAUGGGGGCGGGGGCCUCCCGGUACCGCCAGUCUGGGGGACGGACAAC